Molecule: ribosomal RNA, 434 nt
Filed under: uncultured Ruminococcus sp.
Lineage: Bacteria; Bacillati; Bacillota; Clostridia; Eubacteriales; Oscillospiraceae
Description: partial 16S ribosomal RNA
Rfam family: Bacterial small subunit ribosomal RNA
Source: RNAcentral
ACGGAAGGCAGCAGUGGGGAAUAUUGCACAAUGGGCGCAAGCCUGAUGCAGCGAUGCCGCGUGAGGGAAGAGGGUUUUCGGAUUGUAAACCUCUGUCAACAGGGACGAAAAUGACGGUACCUGUGGAGGAAGCUCCGGCUAACUACGUGCCAGCAGCCGCGGUAAUACGUAGGGAGCAAGCGUUAUCCGGAAUUACUGGGUGUAAAGGGAGUGUAGGCGGGACUGUAAGUCAGAUGUGAAAUAUGCCGGCUCAACUGGCAGACUGCAUUUGAAACUGCGGUUCUUGAGUGAAGUAGAGGUAAGCGGAAUCCCUAGUGUAGCGGUGAAAUGCGUAGAUAUUAGGAGGAACAUCAGUGGCGAAGGCGGCUUACUGGGCUUUAACUGACGCUGAGGCUCGAAAGCGUGGGGAGCAAACAGGAUUAGAUACCCUGGUA